GUGGGCAGAGGGAUCCUCCUCGCAUCCUUGCUGCUGCUCCUUUCUGCUCACUUGUGAAACUGCAAAAGGAACAGGGAUGGACCUGUGAGAUGUUGGAAGAAGAGGAACAAAAAGAAGAGAAAGAAGAUGAUGAAGCAUGGAGCAAAUGUCUGAGAAUCCCUAACAAGAAAGAGCUGCCAUUCUUCAGAUGCUCAGUGGGUUGGCUGAAGGAGAGAUGGAGUUGUGCCCAGAUCUAGCAGCCCCAGGUCCCUCAGCUCCUUAUCAGGCAGUGCUCCAGUCUCCUUGUAGUCCUUUGCUGGACCCUCUCCAUCAGUUCCCUAUCCCUCUUAAACUGGGGAGAACAAAACUGCCUGCAGUUGUUGAGCUGAGUGACAAGAAGGAAUGCUCCUCAGCUUUAUGAUAGUGAAAAACCUGCUUUGUGCAUUACAAAACGAAAAUCAAAUGAAAACAUUUCAUUUGGAGUGAGUCCAUGAGCAGGCUCCACUUUCCCAGUCACUUCAAUGAGUCUGCAGCUCCAACCUGCUAUCAGCUGCAUUUAUGCUUUGCUGUUUUUAACUUGAACCACCUGAAUGCUAAGCAUUUGUUAAUCUGUGCAUAGUCUUCAUUCCCUUGGCUUUUAAAUGACAAAACCAAUAACACAAACUCUGGAUGAGGACUGAAAGAGGAAACCAAUCUUCUCUCUCUGCUUUUUAAGCUGCCUCAUUACUAUAUUGUGGAACAAAGGAAAUGUAAAGGACAGUCUCCUCAAAGCAGUCUUACAGGAAAACCAGUCUGUGUUGUCAUUCUUCCUUGGA
This is a long non-coding RNA of Pogoniulus pusillus (Red-fronted tinkerbird), 794 nucleotides long. RefSeq lists it as uncharacterized. The record is from RefSeq and is a predicted model, not a curated record. NCBI's taxonomy places the organism in Eukaryota, Metazoa, Chordata, Aves, Piciformes, Lybiidae. The transcript is spliced from 4 exons.